UGAUUUAUUAAAUAGCUGCGGUAUUUUGACCGUACAAAGGUAGCAUAAUCAAUAGUUUUUUAAUUGGAAACUGGAAUGAAAGAUUUGAUGAAAUAGAAAUUGUCUCAAUUUUAAAAAUAUUAGAAUUUUUUUUUUAGUUAAAAUACUAAAUUAAAUUUAAAAGACGAGAAGACCCUAUAGAUUUUUAUAAUUUUGAUUUAUAAAUUUAUUUAUUAAUUAAAAUUAUUUGGUUGGGGAAAUUAUUAAAUUAGUAAAAUUUUAAUUUUUUUUUUGACAAUAAUUAUUGAGUGUUUGAUCUUUAAAUAUUAAGAUUAAAAGAAUAAAAUACCUUAGGGAUAACAGCGUUAUU
RNAcentral lists this ribosomal RNA (349 nucleotides) under Trogus picadoae. Its description in RNAcentral is "partial 16S ribosomal RNA". The record is from RNAcentral. Lineage: Eukaryota; Metazoa; Arthropoda; Insecta; Hymenoptera; Ichneumonidae.